This is a long non-coding RNA of Hordeum vulgare subsp. vulgare (domesticated barley), 600 nucleotides long. RefSeq lists it as uncharacterized. The record is from RefSeq and is a predicted model, not a curated record. The transcript is spliced from 2 exons. NCBI's taxonomy places the organism in Eukaryota, Viridiplantae, Streptophyta, Magnoliopsida, Poales, Poaceae.
UGUGAUAAGAAAAUUGUUCAGUUAUUUUCUGCUCGUACAAUUUAUGCCCAGUUUCUUCUAUUUAUCUUGUGAUAAUGUGACUUGGAAAGUAUAAAUGUUAUCAUUUCCUUUUAAUUCAACAUUCAAGUCAUCCUUACUUGCAGAUAACGGAAACCUCCAUAGGUCAAGCACUAUGCCGGGGGUGAUCAAGGAUACUGAGAUAACUACUGAAACUACGGGUCCAUCAAAUCUGGAAAGGUCAAAAACUGAGAGGCGCAAACAAAGUAACCCAACUGAUGAUCCUGCUAAACAAUUAUUGGAUGAUAAGAUUUCCAUAAGGAAAAAGGUACUCAACCUAUUGAUGCACAUGGACAUGAUGACUCUCUAGCGUUUAUGGACCAACCAACCUGUAAUCAUGGUCCUUAUUGUAUUGUAGACCAUUUGGUGUUUCGAGUGUUUUGGAGCUUGCACUUUGUGCAUGUAGAUACAAACUUGUGUGUUCUGAACCAUCUGAUGUCUCUCAUAGUAACCAAUAGUCCUUAUCUUUUUGUGACUUGUGUGUUCUAGAUGAUUGUUAAGAUGGUCAAAACUAUGCUUCCUCUAGGUUAAUUUGUUUGUCAA